Molecule: ribosomal RNA, 425 nt
Filed under: uncultured bacterium
Lineage: Bacteria
Description: partial 16S ribosomal RNA
Rfam family: Bacterial small subunit ribosomal RNA
Source: RNAcentral
GUGGGGAAUAUUGGGCAAUGGGCGAAAGCCUGACGCAGCAACGCCGCGUGAAGGAAGAAGGUUUUCGGAUCGUAAACUUCUAUCCUUGGUGAAGAUAAUGACGGUAGCCAAGAAGGAAGCCCCGGCUAACUACGUGCCAGCAGCCGCGGUAAUACGUAGGGGGCAAGCGUUGUCCGGAAUGAUUGGGCGUAAAGGGCGCGUAGGCGGCCCGGUAAGUCUGAAGUGAAAGUCCUGCUUUUAAGGUGGGAAUUGCUUUGGAUACUGUCGGGCUUGAGUGCAGGAGAGGUAAGCGGAAUUCCCGGUGUAGCGGUGAAAUGCGUAGAGAUCGGGAGGAACACCAGUGGCGAAGGCGGCUUACUGGACUGUAACUGACGCUGAGGCGCGAAAGUGUGGGGAGCAAACAGGAUUAGAAACCCCAGUAGUCC